AGAAUCAACGCUGGCGGCGUGCCUAACACAUGCAAGUCGAACGAGAAAGUGGAGCAAUCCAUGAGUAAAGUGGCGACCGGGUGAGUAACACGUGACUAACCUACCUUCGAGUGGGGAUAACCUCGGGAAACCGAGGCUAAUACCGCAUAACAUCGCAAGAUCAAAGCAGCAAUGCGCUGGAAGAGGGGGUCGCGGCUGAUUAGCUAGUUGGCGGGUAAUGGCCCACCAAGGCGAAGAUCGGUAGCC
RNAcentral lists this ribosomal RNA (246 nucleotides) under uncultured bacterium. RNAcentral's name for it is "partial small subunit ribosomal RNA". It matches the Rfam family "Bacterial small subunit ribosomal RNA", at positions 26 to 288 of the family's 1533-position model. The record is from RNAcentral.